Molecule: ribosomal RNA, 1642 nt
Filed under: Escherichia coli
Lineage: Bacteria; Pseudomonadati; Pseudomonadota; Gammaproteobacteria; Enterobacterales; Enterobacteriaceae
Description: partial 23S ribosomal RNA
Rfam family: Bacterial large subunit ribosomal RNA
Source: RNAcentral
CUGUAAGCCUGUGAAGGUGUACUGUGAGGUAUGCUGGAGGUAUCAGAAGUGCGAAUGCUGACAUAAGUAACGAUAAAGCGGGUGAAAAGCCCGCUCGCCGGAAGACCAAGGGUUCCUGUCCAACGUUAAUCGGGGCAGGGUGAGUCGACCCCUAAGGCGAGGCCGAAAGGCGUAGUCGAUGGGAAACAGGUUAAUAUUCCUGUACUUGGUGUUACUGCGAAGGGGGGACGGAGAAGGCUAUGUUGGCCGGGCGACGGUUGUCCCGGUUUAAGCGUGUAGGCUGGUUUUCCAGGCAAAUCCGGAAAAUCAAGGCUGAGGCGUGAUGACGAGGCACUACGGUGCUGAAGCAACAAAUGCCCUGCUUCCAGGAAAAGCCUCUAAGCAUCAGGUAACAUCAAAUCGUACCCCAAACCGACACAGGUGGUCAGGUAGAGAAUACCAAGGCGCUUGAGAGAACUCGGGUGAAGGAACUAGGCAAAAUGGUGCCGUAACUUCGGGAGAAGGCACGCUGAUAUGUAGGUGAAGCGACUUGCUCGUGGAGCUGAAAUCAGUCGAAGAUACCAGCUGGCUGCAACUGUUUAUUAAAAACACAGCACUGUGCAAACACGAAAGUGGACGUAUACGGUGUGACGCCUGCCCGGUGCCGGAAGGUUAAUUGAUGGGGUCAGCGCAAGCGAAGCUCUUGAUCGAAGCCCCGGUAAACGGCGGCCGUAACUAUAACGGUCCUAAGGUAGCGAAAUUCCUUGUCGGGUAAGUUCCGACCUGCACGAAUGGCGUAAUGAUGGCCAGGCUGUCUCCACCCGAGACUCAGUGAAAUUGAACUCGCUGUGAAGAUGCAGUGUACCCGCGGCAAGACGGAAAGACCCCGUGAACCUUUACUAUAGCUUGACACUGAACAUUGAGCCUUGAUGUGUAGGAUAGGUGGGAGGCUUUGAAGUGUGGACGCCAGUCUGCAUGGAGCCGACCUUGAAAUACCACCCUUUAAUGUUUGAUGUUCUAACGUUGACCCGUAAUCCGGGUUGCGGACAGUGUCUGGUGGGUAGUUUGACUGGGGCGGUCUCCUCCUAAAGAGUAACGGAGGAGCACGAAGGUUGGCUAAUCCUGGUCGGACAUCAGGAGGUUAGUGCAAUGGCAUAAGCCAGCUUGACUGCGAGCGUGACGGCGCGAGCAGGUGCGAAAGCAGGUCAUAGUGAUCCGGUGGUUCUGAAUGGAAGGGCCAUCGCUCAACGGAUAAAAGGUACUCCGGGGAUAACAGGCUGAUACCGCCCAAGAGUUCAUAUCGACGGCGGUGUUUGGCACCUCGAUGUCGGCUCAUCACAUCCUGGGGCUGAAGUAGGUCCCAAGGGUAUGGCUGUUCGCCAUUUAAAGUGGUACGCGAGCUGGGUUUAGAACGUCGUGAGACAGUUCGGUCCCUAUCUGCCGUGGGCGCUGGAGAACUGAGGGGGGCUGCUCCUAGUACGAGAGGACCGGAGUGGACGCAUCACUGGUGUUCGGGUUGUCAUGCCAAUGGCACUGCCCGGUAGCUAAAUGCGGAAGAGAUAAGUGCUGAAAGCAUCUAAGCACGAAACUUGCCCCGAGAUGAGUUCUCCCUGACUCCUUGAGAGUCCUGAAGGAACGUUGAAGACGACGACGUUGAUAGGCC